GACGAACGCUGGCGGCGUGCCUAAUACAUGCAAGUCGAACGCAGUGGGGACGGGUGAGUAACAAGUGGGUAACCUCCCAUCAGAGGGGAUAACACUUGGAAGCAGGUGCUAAACCGAUACUGAUGGAUGAACCCGCGGUGCAUUAGCUAGUUGGUGAGGUAACGGCUAACCAAGGCCACGGUGCAUAGCCGACCGGAGAGGGGUAUCGGCCACACUGGGACUGAGACACGGCCCAGACCCCUACGGGAGGCAGCAGUAGGGAAGCUUCGGAAAUUGACGAAAGUCUGACCGAGCAACGCCGCUGGAGUGAAGAAGGUUUUCGGAGCGUAAAACUCUGUUGUUAGAGAAGCGGUAUCUAACCAGAAAGCCACGGCUAACUACGUGCCAGCAGCCGCGGUAAUAC
This 403-nucleotide ribosomal RNA is filed under the name uncultured bacterium. Its description in RNAcentral is "partial 16S ribosomal RNA". It matches the Rfam family "Bacterial small subunit ribosomal RNA", at positions 28 to 526 of the family's 1533-position model. The record is from RNAcentral.